Molecule: ribosomal RNA, 495 nt
Filed under: uncultured bacterium
Lineage: Bacteria
Description: partial 16S ribosomal RNA
Rfam family: Bacterial small subunit ribosomal RNA
Source: RNAcentral
GACGAACGCUGGCGGCGUGCCUAAUACAUGCAAGUAGAACGCUGAAGGAGGAGCUUGCUCUUCUGGAUGAGUUGCGAACGGGUGAGUAACGCGUAGGUAACCUGCCUGGUAGCGGGGGAUAACUAUUGGAAACGAUAGCUAAUACCGCAUAACAGUAGAUGUUGCAUGACAUUUGCUUAAAAGGUGCAAUUGCAUCACUACCAGAUGGACCUGCGUUGUAUUAGCUAGUUGGUGGGGUAACGGCUCACCAAGGCGACGAUACAUAGCCGACCUGAGAGGGGGAUCGGCCACACUGGGACUGAGACACGGCCCAGACUCCUACGGGAGGCAGCAGUAGGGAAUCUUCGGCAAUGGACGGAAGUCUGACCGAGCAACGCCGCGUGAGUGAAGAAGGUUUUCGGAUCGUAAAGCUCUGUUGUAAGAGAAGAACGAGUGUGAGAGUGGAAAGUUCACACUGUGACGGUAUCUUACCAGAAAGGGACGGCUAACUACGUG